Capsicum annuum is the source of this 1808-nucleotide non-coding RNA. Lineage: Eukaryota; Viridiplantae; Streptophyta; Magnoliopsida; Solanales; Solanaceae. The record is from Rfam.
UACCUGGUUUAUCCUGCCAGUAGUCAUAUGCUUGUCUUAAUGAUUAAGCCAUGCAUGUGUAAGUAUGAAUAUAUUCAGACUGUGAAACUUUGAAUGGCUCAUUAAAUUAGUUAUUGUUUGUUUGAUGGUAUCUACUACUCGAAUAACCGUAGUAAUUCUAGAGCUAAUAUGUGCAACAAACCCCAACUUCUGAAAGGGAUGCAUUUAUGAUAUAAAAGGUCGACGCGGGCUCUGCCCAUUACUGCGAUGAUUCAUGAUAACUUGACGGAUCGGACGACCAUUGUGCCGGCGACGCAUCAUUCAAAUUUUUGUCCUAUUAAGUUUUGAUAGUAGGAUAAUGGCCUACCAUGGUGGUGAUGGGUGACGAAGAAUUAGGGUUUGAUUUUGGAGAGGGAGCCGGAGAAAUGGCUACCACAUCCAACGAAGGUAGCAGGCGCGCAAAUUAUCCAAUCCUGACAUGGGGAGGUAGUGACAAUAAAUAACAAAACCAGGAUCAAUGAGUCUUGUAAUUGGAAUGAGUACAAUCUAAAUCCCUUAACGAGGAUCCAUUGGAGGGAGAUUCUGGUGCUGACAAUCGUGUUAAUUCCAGCACCAAUAGCGUAUAUUUAAGUUGUUGCAGUUAAAAAGCUCGAAGUUGGACUUUGGGAUUGGCCGGCCGGUCCGCCUAUGGUGUGCAUUUGUCGUCUCGUCCCUUCUAUCGGCGAAGCACUCCUGGCCUUAACUGGCCGGGUCGUUCCUCCGGCGCUGUUAGUUUGAAGAAAUUAGAGUACUUAAAGAAAGCCUAUGCUCUGUAUACAUUAGCAUGGGAUAACAUUAUAGGAUUUUGGUACUAUGACGUUGGCCUUUGGGAUCGAAGUAAUGAUUAAUAGGAACAGUCGGGGGGCAUUUGUAUUUCAUAGUCAGAGGUAAAAUUAUUGGAUUUAUGAAAUACGAACAACUGCGAAAGCAUUUUCCAAGGAUGUUUUCAUUAAUCAAGAAUGAAAUUUGGGUGCUCAAAGGCGAUCAGAUACCGUCCUAAUCUCAUUCAUAAACGAUGCCGACCAGGUAUCUGCGGAUGUUGCUAUUAGGACUCCUCCGACACCUUAUGAGAAAUCAAAGUUUUUGAGUUUCGGGGGGAGUAUUGUCGGAAGGUUGAAACUUAAAGGAAUUGACGAAAGGGCACCACCAGGAGUGGAGCCUGCGAAUUAAUUUUACUCAACACGGGGAAACUUACCAGGUCCAGACAUAGUAAGGAUUGACAGACGGAGAGCUCUUUCUUGAUUCGUUUGGUGGUGGUGCAUGGCCGUUCUUAGUUGGUGGAGUGAUUUGACUGGUUAAUUCUGUUAAUGAACGAGACCUUAGCUUGCUAACUAGCAAUGCGGAGGUAUCCCUUGGCAGCUAGCCUCUUUGAGGGACUACGGCCUUUUAGGCCGUGGAAGUUUAGGACAAUAACAGGUGUGUGAUGCCCUUAGAUGUUCUGGGCCUCACGCGCGCUACACUGAUGUAUUCAACGAGUUUAUAGCCUUGGCCGACAGGCUCGGGUAAUCUUUGAAAUUUUAUCGUGAUGGGGAUAGAUCAUUCCAAUUGUUGGUGUUCAACGAGGGAUUCCUUGUAAGCGUGAGUCGUCAUCACGCAUUUACUAUGUCCGUGCCCUUUAUACACUCCACCUGUCGCUCCUACUAAUUGAAUGAUCCGAUGAAAUUUUUGGAUCGUGGUGACGUGGAUGGUUCGCUGCCCGUGACAUCGAGAGAAGUGCAAUUAAACUUAUCAUUUAGAGAAGGAUAAUUCGUAACAAGGUUUUCGUAGGUGAAUCUACAGAAGGAUCAUUG